CUGGUUUAUACACUUUCAUGACUAAAGAAAGCUAUCAGUAGCGAAAUUAAAGUUUCAACUUUACGUUGUUCUACAUAUAAAACAGAUACAAGGACAGGUACAUAGAAAACCAUAAUAUUCAGUGAAUGUUAUAACUUAAGACAAGUUAUUAGAGAAAAUAGCAGGCAUACUGUUAUUGUGUGAAUUCUAGUGGGGUUAUCUCCUCGUAUCAUCAGUUAUUUUGAAAAAAAACCACAUGUACAAUGUAUGUUAUUGUACAAAGAAACAACGGCUGUAAUAAUGCUAUUCAGUUAUCACAGAAAUUGUGGUUGGUUAAAAGCAAAUCAAGUUAAAUAAUUUCAAAUUUAGCGCUGUUAGUUUUGUUGUUUAUAUAUAGUUUAAUUUCAACAUUUGCCCCAUUUCUAGUGAAACAUUGUGGGCACACUGAUUACUUUUUUGUUGUAUUUUUAUGAUAAUUUCUCUUGAAUUAUUUUUAAGCAAUUGAUUUAAUAUUUUCACAAUUUUUAGAUUACCGUAGCAAUUUGUCAAUGAUACUUUUUUAUUAAAUAGUUAUUAUUCCUUCAAUUUCAGGUAACUAAAAAGAUGUUUACAAACAAGUUAGGAUCAAGCCAAAAAUAACAACAUGCAUG
This 629-nucleotide long non-coding RNA is filed under the name Mytilus galloprovincialis (Mediterranean mussel). Lineage: Eukaryota; Metazoa; Mollusca; Bivalvia; Mytilida; Mytilidae. The record is from RNAcentral.